Molecule: ribosomal RNA, 425 nt
Filed under: uncultured bacterium
Lineage: Bacteria
Description: partial 16S ribosomal RNA
Rfam family: Bacterial small subunit ribosomal RNA
Source: RNAcentral
GUGGGGAAUAUUGGACAAUGGGCGAAAGCCUGAUCCAGCAAUGCCGCGUGAGUGAUGAAGGCCUUCGGGUUGUAAAGUUCUUUAGCCGAUGAUUAUAAUGACUGUAGUCGGAAAAUAAGCCCCGGCUAACUUCGUGCCAGCAGCCGCGGUAAUACGAAGGGGGCGAGCGUUAUUCGGAAUCACUGGGCGUAAAGCGUGCGUAGGCGGUUUUGUAAGUUAGGAGUGAAAGCCCAGGGCUCAACCUUGGAAUUGCUCUUAAAACUGCAAGGCUCGAAUCUCGGAGAGGAUAGCGGAAUUUCCAGUGUAGCAGUGAAAUGCGUAGAUAUUGGAAGGAACACCAGUGGCGUAAGCGGCUAUCUGGACGAGUAUUGACGCUGAGGCACGAAAGCGUGGGGAUCAAACAGGAUUAGAAACCCUUGUAGUCC